UACGUAGGGGGCAAGCGUUGUUCGGAAUUACUGGGCGUAAAGCGCGCGUAGGCGGUUUGAAAAGUCAGAUGUGAAAGCCCCGGGCUCAACUUGGGAACUGCAUUUGAUACUGUCAGACUAGAGUACAGAAGAGGUGACUGGAAUUCCCAGUGUAGCGGUGAAAUGCGUAGAUAUUGGGAGGAACACCAGAUGCGAAGGCGGGUCACUGGGCUGAUACUGACGCUGAAGUGCGAAAGCCAGGGAGCGAACGGG
Molecule: ribosomal RNA, 252 nt
Filed under: uncultured bacterium
Lineage: Bacteria
Description: partial 16S ribosomal RNA
Rfam family: Bacterial small subunit ribosomal RNA
Source: RNAcentral